Molecule: ribosomal RNA, 626 nt
Filed under: Clostridioides difficile
Lineage: Bacteria; Bacillati; Bacillota; Clostridia; Peptostreptococcales; Peptostreptococcaceae
Description: bacterial LSU rRNA
Rfam family: Bacterial large subunit ribosomal RNA
Source: RNAcentral
CGGGGAUGACUUGUGGGUAGCGGUGAAAUUCCAAUCGAGCCCGGAGAUAGCUGGUUCUCCCCGAAAUAGCUUUAGGGCUAGCCUCAAGGUGAGAGAUACGGAGGUAGAGCACUGAAUGUCCUAGGGGGUAUUGCACCUACCGAAGACUAUCAAACUCCGAAUGCCGUCAUCUUAUACUUGGGAGUCAGACUGUGGGUGAUAAGAUUCAUAGUCGAAAGGGCAACAGCCCAGAUCGUCAGCUAAGGUCCCUAAAUGUAAGUUAAGUGGUAAAGGAUGUGGGAUUGCACAGACAACCAGGAUGUUGGCUUAGAAGCAGCCACUCAUUCAAAGAGUGCGUAAUAGCUCACUGGUCGAGUGAUCCUGCGCCGAAGAUUUCCGGGGCUAAAACUUACUACCGAAGCUACGGCAUCAGUAAUGAUGGGUAGGGGAGCUUCCCAUACGGGUUGAAGCAUGACCGUAAGGACAUGUGGACAGUAUGGGAGUGAGAAUGUUGGCAUGAGUAGCGAGAUGUGGGUGAGAAUCCCACAGGCCGUAAACCCAAGGUUUCCAGGGGAAGGUUCGUCCGCCCUGGGUUAGUCGGGACCUAAGCUGAGGCCGAAAGGCGUAGGUGAUGGACAACAGGUUGA